GCCAGCGAGCUGCCAGGCGGCGAGAACGCGCUGGGGGAACCCUUGGUCCGCUCUGCGCGUCGCUCUAGGAUCCCCGAAAAGGAGCACGGGCGCGAAAGCGGCCAGGCUGGGCCAGGAUCUAGAAAGACUGCCUGGCGCAGGCUCCCUGCCCCCGCGGGCCUGCUGUCAUGGACUCGUGGAGAGCUCGCUUCCCGCGCGGACCCUUCCUGCAGGGGUCCACGUCCAGGCACCGGCGGCUCGGACACCCCACCCCCGGCCGGGCACCUGCCCUGGGUGCCCCUUAACCCGGGCGGUAGCUCGUUAAGAUGGCGAAGUGUCCGGUCCGGAACACGCGAAACCCCAAAUCCCGCCUGCCCGACCUCCUGACCCCCGGCCCCACGGGACGACAGACUGGGCCUCCCGACGCGCAGCGCGCUGCCGGGACACCGGUGCGUGCGAAACGGAGGACCUUUGUAACGCCACGUGUUUGCUCUUUUUGAAAAAACAAGAAUAAAUGUGUUAAACUGUCUGAAAAGCUUGCCGCCUAAAAGAUGUCUGGGUGACUUAGAUGCUAGGAUCAGUUUGUUUUCAAUGUAAAUGGACCAGCCCGGACUCCGUACGGCACUAGCAGGGGACUGAAAGCGUCUUCAGGUACUGCUGGUGGGCGGUGAUGCGCUACAGGCCGAUCAGACAGUUUUGUGUCUUUUGGAACUUGACACUGCACCACGGUAAUGCUGAACUGCACCAAUAUUACAGAUCACAGCGCAUCAUCUUCCUUCAACAUGAUUUAACACAGUUGACUUAAUAUGGUGGAUAAAUGUAGAAUCACAAAUUACCAUACCCCACCUCAGGCUUCUACUUCGUAAUUUUGAGCAGGUUGUUUAACCUCUUUGUACCUCAGCUUCUUCAUUACAAAAAUAGGGGUACUAGCCAGGCGGGGUGGCUCGCGCCUGUAAUCCCAGCACUUGGGGAGGCCGAGGCAGCCGGAUCACUUGAGGUCAGAAGUUUCAGACCAGCCUGGUCAACAUGGGUGAAACGCCGGCUCUACCAAAAAUAUAAAAACUUAGCUGAGUGUGGUAGCGCAUGACUGUAAUCCCAGCAACUCAGGAGGCUGAGGCAGAGAAUCGCUUGAACCUGGGAGGCGGAGGUUGCAGUGAGCUGAGAUCGUACCACUGCACUCCAGCUUGGGCGACAGAGCGAGACUCUGCCUUAAAAAUAAAUAAAUAAUUUUUUUAAAAAAUAGGGGUACUAAUAUCUACCUUAAAGGAUGAGGGUUAAAUUAAGUACACACAUAAGCCCUAGCGCAGUGGCUUAUGCCUGUAAUCUCAACACUUUGGGAGUCUGUGGCGGGAGGAUCACUUGAGCCCAGGAGUUUGAGACUAGUCUGGGCAACAGAGACAUGUCUCUAUAGUUGUGUUUGGUUUUGUUUUUACCAGGUGUGGUGGUGUGCACCUGCAGUCCCAGCUACUAGGGAGGCUGAGGUGGGAGGACUGCCUGAGCCCAGGAGGUCGAGGCUGCAGUGAGCCAUGAUUGUGCCACUGCACUCCAGCCUGGGCAACACAGCAAGACCUUGUCUCAAAAACAAACAAAAAGCAUACUCAUAAAGUGCUCGGCUCCUAUAUGAUUCAAUAUGUGGUGGUGGAUUCUUGAAUCCUUUCCUGACUCAGAUCUCAUACGAUUUUCUGAACUUUUGGAGAAUCCUUGCCUCUCUGCAUUUGCAAACCGUCAAAGGCACUCCCUUCUGCCACCACACAAAGCAUUUGAUUUUAAACUUGACUAUGUCCUUCUGUUCCAACUUUAGGUAAAUUAAUCUUGGUCAGGGUUCUCUGAACAGCCCUUUAGUCACUAUGCCAUUGAAUACAUGGCCCUACAGCUGGAAACUGGGGUAGAACAGUGAUUGCAGGCAUCCAUCAUGUGACAGCGAGGCCCCAAAGAAGGGGAGAGAAUGCCACCACCACCAGUUUCAGAGAAUGCCUAUACACUGAGGGGACUGGUGUGUGGGAGAGAAGUUACUUGGAGAGCUACCAAGACAGCCUGAGCUACAGGAUCCUGGUCUACCACUGGUGGAUUCCCACCACUCUGGUUCUAAAAUAACUUCCUAAACUUGUGCUUCACAUACAGAAUAAAGCAUCUGUAAUUCCA
Long non-coding RNA from Homo sapiens (human), 2121 nucleotides. RefSeq annotates it as MBTPS1 divergent transcript. NCBI's taxonomy places the organism in Eukaryota, Metazoa, Chordata, Mammalia, Primates, Hominidae. The record is from RefSeq and is marked validated. The transcript has a single exon.